RNAcentral lists this ribosomal RNA (477 nucleotides) under uncultured bacterium. RNAcentral's name for it is "partial 16S ribosomal RNA". It matches the Rfam family "Bacterial small subunit ribosomal RNA", at positions 30 to 507 of the family's 1533-position model. The record is from RNAcentral.
AUGAACGCUGGCGGCGUGCCUAACACAUGCAAGUCGCACGGAGUCCAGCCUUUAAGACCUUCGGGUCAAAGAGGGGAAGACUGAGUGGCGGACGGGUGAGUAACACGUGGGCAACCUGGCUCAUAGAGGGGGAUAACAGAGAGAAAUUACUGCUAAUACCGCAUAAGCACACACUGCCGCAUGGCAGAGGGUGAAAAGAGAAUCGCUAUGAGAUGGACCCGCGUCUGAUUAGCCAGUUGGCAGGGUAAGAGCCUACCAAAGCGACGAUCAGUAGCCGAUCUGAGAGGAUGAACGGCCACAUUGGGACUGAGACACGGCCCAAACUCCUACGGGAGGCAGCAGUGGGGGAUAUUGCACAAUGGGGGGAACCCUGAUGCAGCGACGCCGCGUGAGUGAAGAAGUAUUUCGGUAUGUAAAGCCCUAUCAGCAGGGAAGAUAAUGACAGUACCUGAAUAAGAAGCCCCGGCUAACUACGUG